GACGUAGGGGGCGGGCGUUGUCCGGAAUCACUGGGCGUAAAGAGCUCGUAGGCGGGGUCUUGCGUCGUGGAGUAAAUUUCAGCGCUCAACGCUGAAAUCAUCUGCGAUACGGGGACUCUUGAGGACAGGAGAGGAGAGCGGAAUUCCGAGUGUAGCGGUGAAAUGCGUAGAGAUUCGGAGGAACACCAGUGGCGAAGGCGGCUUUCUGGCCUGAUUCUGACGCUGAGGAGCGAAAGCCAGGGGAGCAAACGGG
RNAcentral lists this ribosomal RNA (253 nucleotides) under uncultured prokaryote. RNAcentral describes it as "partial 16S ribosomal RNA". It matches the Rfam family "Bacterial small subunit ribosomal RNA", at positions 524 to 776 of the family's 1533-position model. The record is from RNAcentral.